RNA transcript from Papaver somniferum (opium poppy), 2171 nucleotides. RefSeq lists it as uncharacterized. The record is from RefSeq and is a predicted model, not a curated record. Lineage: Eukaryota; Viridiplantae; Streptophyta; Magnoliopsida; Ranunculales; Papaveraceae. The transcript has 6 exons.
ACCAAAACUUAUCUUGUUCUCCUCCUCUUUUUUAUUUUCUUCCGAACAAAGAUCUUGGAAAUCAAAAUCCUAUGUCCCUCUCCCUCAGCCAAAACUUGUGAACCAAUAUUAUCCUCAGCUAAACCUAGAUCUGUUAAAAUCAAAACUAUCUUUUGUAGACAUAAAUCAAACUCAAUUUGCUAUAAAUCAAAACCCAUCAGAAACCAAACCCAAUUUCACUUACCGAAAUUUCGUUUUAAACAAACUCAAUUUGCUAUAAAUCAAAACCCGGUAGAAAUCAAACCUAAUUUCACUUGCCCAGAUUUCGCUUUAAACCCUAGAUAUGUGAUUUUUGCUUAAAUCAAAUGCGUUUACCGGUGAAACCCUUAUUUCAUUGUAAUUGAUUUUGUGAGUCAAGUUUAUUUAGCAUAGUUGAAUACCAACCUCAAUGAAAAUUCUCUGAUCAGAAAUUUAUUUAUGUGAAUCUUAUUUUACAUCACCAAAAAUAUGAAGAAGGUACAGUUUGUAUGUGGUGUUCUGGUAGAUGCGAGCUGAGAAUAGAGAAAGAAGAGGGGGAUCGAAUUUGAUUGGUGGUAGUUGCUUCAGAUGGUGGAGUUCAGGAGUGAUUGCAAUGGUUUGCAGGUGAGGAAUGGUAGAGAUAAUGCAUAGAACUGCUGGUGUUUGGAGCAACAGAAAAUGAAAUGGGUUUUGCAGUUCUAGUCUGAAGUUGAAGUUGCAGGUUCAGGAGAUGGAUUUGGUUACUGCUAAUGGAUGGAGGAGAUAUGUACUGAAAUGGCAGUUUCUGGUGGUUAUGUUGGUGAUUGUUUCUUGAGGAAUCUGAGAUGGAGAUGGAACUGCUAGUGUUGAUGAGAUGGUUUGUUUUUGAGUCUGUAUGUGGAUAAAAUGCAGAAAAACAGUGGGUUAUAUUUUUGCUGAUGCAUAGAACUUGUGCUGAUGCAGUGGAUGUAUGAGAUGGAGAUGGUUGAGCAGCAGAGAGGCCUUGAAAUGUGCUGUGCUUGAAUCUUGUUGUUAUCAACAGAAUGGACUGUCUUGGUGAUGUGUAAACAAGGAAGAAGAACAAAUAUGGUGUUGCAGUUGAAUGAAUGGGUUAAGUUGAUGUUGAGGAAUGAGCUGAAUUGCAGAUGGUUAAUGUUUGGUAUUGCAGGAAUGGAGUUGUGUGGUUCAAUGGCCUUGUACUUCGCAGAAGAAAUUUCAGGAGCUGGAUGCUAGGGUCAGGAAGCUACAGCAAGUGUAGAUGAUGUUGCAGAACAAGAAAUUGUGAUGGACUCCAUAGCUAGUUCACAGAUAUUUACAAUGUCUUUUGAUGGAAACAGGUAGCUCUAUGACAUAGUGCUACAUCAUUGAGCAUGCUUGAUUAUAAAUGAUAAUCUGGUUUAACCCAGUAUGACAUAUAUGAAGCUUAUGGGCUUAGCUGGAAGCAUCCCCCUGCACGUGGAUGGCAAUGGACAUUAUAUUCUCUGGUGGAGAAGUUGAAGGAUUUGUGCUUGAAUCAAAGGGAAGAGAUAAAAGCAUUAAAAACUGCUAUUUUGUUCCCUGAUGUUGUGAAUUCGCAACUUCAAGAUAUUUUAGACAAGCAAGGAUCGGAGUUGAAACAGGCAAAACAAGUUAUUCCCACUUUACAGCGACAGGUUACAUCUCUUACAGGCCAAUUGCAAUAUCUUGCAAAUGGUCUGGCUGAGGUCAAGGUAGACAAAUACUCUGUCAGGGGAUGUUACGAAGGCAAUCUAAGUUCUCCUAGAACACCAGCAUUUGAUCUAGACGCCACCAAUUCUUUGUAGUGCCCUCCGCUGAAGAUCAAUCACUUGCUGACGAGUAUUCCAGAAGUGCUCAAUACCUUGCGUAUUUUGGUGGAAAAGUUGGGUUACGGUAUGAUGAGAGUUAUGCUCGUGGUGGGAUCUGCUACUUAAACAGGUGAUAUUUUUUAUGUUCUACUUGUGUUUAUGUGAUUUUUUGUUAGUUCAGUUCUGUUAAAUCAUUGUACUUGAACACUUAUGGGUUUGUCAGUUCUGUUGAAUCAUGUUCCGGAAUGGAAUUUCAUUGUAUUUUUUUCAAACUUAGUUUAUAUUGUUGUAAGGAUUAGUGAUUAUCUGACCAAAUUGGGUCUUUUAGUUGAUCUACAAUGGUAUAUGAAGGUGCAGAAAUCUGCCGGAAUAAUCGUCGGAAUUUAUUUA